AAUAAAUGAUAUAUAUAAAGAAAGUAUGUGUGUUACUAUUAUGGGUAUAUAUGGUGUAUGUAUGGCUAUUUCUUCCGUUUUUCAACUAAUACUUGAAUUAACUUCUUUUAAAUUAAUAAUUGGAUGUAAUAUUUGUAAAACAGUAGCUAUUUUAUUUUUUACAUUAUAUUUAUGUUUAUUGAAAAGUUCUAAAUAUUACUUGUAUUUUAUUUCGGGUAUACUUGGCUUAUUAAGUGGGUAUUUAUAUUCUGCUUGUACAAAGUACUCUUUACUUUUAUUGGAGAAUGUAAAUGGAUAUUUAAUAACAGGGGUAAGUUUUUGUGGUUUUUUUUUUUUUUUUGCUAACUUGCCGUUUUCUUAUUUUACAAUUAAAGCAGGGGAUGUAAAUACAUAUUAUAAAGCUAUUGGUUAUUCAUUAAGUUUUUUCAUAGUAUUAGAAAUUCUAAUUAUUUUAUACAUAAUAUAUGUACAAAUGACUUCUUUUUAUUUUAACGAGGAAAAGAAAAGAAUAGAAAAUUCGUUUUAUUCAGAUAGUAAUAAUAUUUUAAAAAAUAAGGAAUUAGAAACAGAAUAUAAAUAUGUAAAAAAAUGUUCUGGAAGCAUUAAUGAAACACAUAUAGAUGUAAAUGAAAUUGUUUCACCUGCUAAUGUUGAUAUUAAAAGUGUAGCUGAUAGUGGUAUUUAUAAAAAUAAUAACAAUGAUUACAAUCAUAUUAACACGCAUUAUAAUAUUCUUAACAAAACAAACAAAAAUAGAAAUACUAAUUUAAAAGAAAAACUUGUUUAUAUAAAAAAUAAACUAAAUUUCAAUAGCAUAACUUUAGGUAUAAAAUUAAUUAAAUAUUAUUAUAUUUGUUGUACUCCCAUAUGUUUUACAGUUUUUAUAACAUAUUUAGUUUAUCCCCAUCUAAUACCUAAUAUGCUAAAGAAGACAGAAUUUGAAAAAUAUUUUUAUAUUUUUUUAUACCAACUGAGCAAUCUCAUAUUUAGUAUGCUUAUGACAUUUUUAUUAAAACAGAUGCAGUUUUUAAAACAGCCAUAUGUUUUUAUAAUGAGUUUUUUAAGGUUGUUAUUAAUAUGGAUAUGUUAUAGUAUAAUAAACACUGUACAAACUAAUUUUAUAUAUUCAAAUGUGUUUGUAUCAUUUGUUGUAGUAUUAAUAGGAUCUACGAAUUCAAUAAUACGUAGCUUAAGUUUUGCACGUAUUCGUGAGUGUUUUGAAAAUAAUGAUAAAAGAGAUCAUUACGUUUCAGUUGCAUCUUCUUUUUGUGCAUUAUUAUACCUAUUUAGUUAUGCUUUAUCAUCUUGGUUUGUUCCCAUAAUUUUAAGCUUAUGA
Molecule: long non-coding RNA, 1336 nt
Filed under: Piliocolobus tephrosceles (Ugandan red Colobus)
Lineage: Eukaryota; Metazoa; Chordata; Mammalia; Primates; Cercopithecidae
Description: lncRNA (ENSPTEG00000034925.1)
Source: RNAcentral